This 2773-nucleotide ribosomal RNA is filed under the name Escherichia coli. RNAcentral describes it as "bacterial LSU rRNA". It matches the Rfam family "Bacterial large subunit ribosomal RNA". Lineage: Bacteria; Pseudomonadati; Pseudomonadota; Gammaproteobacteria; Enterobacterales; Enterobacteriaceae. The record is from RNAcentral.
AGCGUACACGGUGGAUGCCCUGGCAGUCAGAGGCGAUGAAGGACGUGCUAAUCUGCGAUAAGCGUCGGUAAGGUGAUAUGAACCGUUAUAACCGGCGAUUUCCGAAUGGGGAAACCCAGUGUGAUUCGUCACACUAUCAUUAACUGAAUCCAUAGGUUAAUGAGGCGAACCGGGGGAACUGAAACAUCUAAGUACCCCGAGGAAAAGAAAUCAACCGAGAUUCCCCCAGUAGCGGCGAGCGAACGGGGAGCAGCCCAGAGCCUGAAUCAGUGUGUGUGUUAGUGGAAGCGUCUGGAAAGGCGCGCGAUACAGGGUGACAGCCCCGUACACAAAAAUGCACAUGCUGUGAGCUCGAUGAGUAGGGCGGGACACGUGGUAUCCUGUCUGAAUAUGGGGGGACCAUCCUCCAAGGCUAAAUACUCCUGACUGACCGAUAGUGAACCAGUACCGUGAGGGAAAGGCGAAAAGAACCCCGGCGAGGGGAGUGAAAAAGAACCUGAAACCGUGUACGUACAAGCAGUGGGAGCACGCUUAGGCGUGUGACUGCGUACCUUUUGUAUAAUGGGUCAGCGACUUAUAUUCUGUAGCAAGGUUAACCGAAUAGGGGAGCCGAAGGGAAACCGAGUCUUAACUGGGCGUUAAGUUGCAGGGUAUAGACCCGAAACCCGGUGAUCUAGCCAUGGGCAGGUUGAAGGUUGGGUAACACUAACUGGAGGACCGAACCGACUAAUGUUGAAAAAUUAGCGGAUGACUUGUGGCUGGGGGUGAAAGGCCAAUCAAACCGGGAGAUAGCUGGUUCUCCCCGAAAGCUAUUUAGGUAGCGCCUCGUGAAUUCAUCUCCGGGGGUAGAGCACUGUUUCGGCAAGGGGGUCAUCCCGACUUACCAACCCGAUGCAAACUGCGAAUACCGGAGAAUGUUAUCACGGGAGACACACGGCGGGUGCUAACGUCCGUCGUGAAGAGGGAAACAACCCAGACCGCCAGCUAAGGUCCCAAAGUCAUGGUUAAGUGGGAAACGAUGUGGGAAGGCCCAGACAGCCAGGAUGUUGGCUUAGAAGCAGCCAUCAUUUAAAGAAAGCGUAAUAGCUCACUGGUCGAGUCGGCCUGCGCGGAAGAUGUAACGGGGCUAAACCAUGCACCGAAGCUGCGGCAGCGACGCUUAUGCGUUGUUGGGUAGGGGAGCGUUCUGUAAGCCUGUGAAGGUGUACUGUGAGGUAUGCUGGAGGUAUCAGAAGUGCGAAUGCUGACAUAAGUAACGAUAAAGCGGGUGAAAAGCCCGCUCGCCGGAAGACCAAGGGUUCCUGUCCAACGUUAAUCGGGGCAGGGUGAGUCGACCCCUAAGGCGAGGCCGAAAGGCGUAGUCGAUGGGAAACAGGUUAAUAUUCCUGUACUUGGUGUUACUGCGAAGGGGGGACGGAGAAGGCUAUGUUGGCCGGGCGACGGUUGUCCCGGUUUAAGCGUGUAGGCUGGUUUUCCAGGCAAAUCCGGAAAAUCAAGGCUGAGGCGUGAUGACGAGGCACUACGGUGCUGAAGCAACAAAUGCCCUGCUUCCAGGAAAAGCCUCUAAGCAUCAGGUAACAUCAAAUCGUACCCCAAACCGACACAGGUGGUCAGGUAGAGAAUACCAAGGCGCUUGAGAGAACUCGGGUGAAGGAACUAGGCAAAAUGGUGCCGUAACUUCGGGAGAAGGCACGCUGAUAUGUAGGUGAAGUCCCUCGCGGAUGGAGCUGAAAUCAGUCGAAGAUACCAGCUGGCUGCAACUGUUUAUUAAAAACACAGCACUGUGCAAACACGAAAGUGGACGUAUACGGUGUGACGCCUGCCCGGUGCCGGAAGGUUAAUUGAUGGGGUCAGCGCAAGCGAAGCUCUUGAUCGAAGCCCCGGUAAACGGCGGCCGUAACUAUAACGGUCCUAAGGUAGCGAAAUUCCUUGUCGGGUAAGUUCCGACCUGCACGAAUGGCGUAAUGAUGGCCAGGCUGUCUCCACCCGAGACUCAGUGAAAUUGAACUCGCUGUGAAGAUGCAGUGUACCCGCGGCAAGACGGAAAGACCCCGUGAACCUUUACUAUAGCUUGACACUGAACAUUGAGCCUUGAUGUGUAGGAUAGGUGGGAGGCUUUGAAGUGUGGACGCCAGUCUGCAUGGAGCCGACCUUGAAAUACCACCCUUUAAUGUUUGAUGUUCUAACGUUGACCCGUAAUCCGGGUUGCGGACAGUGUCUGGUGGGUAGUUUGACUGGGGCGGUCUCCUCCUAAAGAGUAACGGAGGAGCACGAAGGUUGGCUAAUCCUGGUCGGACAUCAGGAGGUUAGUGCAAUGGCAUAAGCCAGCUUGACUGCGAGCGUGACGGCGCGAGCAGGUGCGAAAGCAGGUCAUAGUGAUCCGGUGGUUCUGAAUGGAAGGGCCAUCGCUCAACGGAUAAAAGGUACUCCGGGGAUAACAGGCUGAUACCGCCCAAGAGUUCAUAUCGACGGCGGUGUUUGGCACCUCGAUGUCGGCUCAUCACAUCCUGGGGCUGAAGUAGGUCCCAAGGGUAUGGCUGUUCGCCAUUUAAAGUGGUACGCGAGCUGGGUUUAGAACGUCGUGAGACAGUUCGGUCCCUAUCUGCCGUGGGCGCUGGAGAACUGAGGGGGGCUGCUCCUAGUACGAGAGGACCGGAGUGGACGCAUCACUGGUGUUCGGGUUGUCAUGCCAAUGGCACUGCCCGGUAGCUAAAUGCGGAAGAGAUAAGUGCUGAAAGCAUCUAAGCACGAAACUUGCCCCGAGAUGAGUUCU